CUUCUCGUGGUGUAGUUGACAAAGCGCCUGUCUAGUUAGUAGGAGUCGUGAGUUCGAGUCUCACCGAGAGGA
Aedes albopictus (Asian tiger mosquito) is the source of this 72-nucleotide non-coding RNA. The record is from Rfam. NCBI's taxonomy places the organism in Eukaryota, Metazoa, Arthropoda, Insecta, Diptera, Culicidae.